This 490-nucleotide ribosomal RNA is filed under the name uncultured bacterium. RNAcentral's name for it is "partial 16S ribosomal RNA". It matches the Rfam family "Bacterial small subunit ribosomal RNA", at positions 30 to 507 of the family's 1533-position model. The record is from RNAcentral.
AUUGAACGCUGGCGGCAGGCCUAACACAUGCAAGUCGAACGGUAACAGGAAACAGCUUGCUGUUUCGCUGACGAGUGGCGGACGGGUGAGUCAUGUCUGGGAAACUGCCUGAUGGAGGGGGAUAACUACUGGAAACGGUAGCUAAUACCGCAUAACGUCGCAAGACCAAAGAGCGGGACCCUCGGGCCUCUUUCCAUCGGCUGCGCCCAGAUGGGAUUAGCUUGUUGGUGGGGUAACGGCUCACCAAGGCGACGAUCCCUAGCUGGUCUGAGAGGAUGACCAGCCACACUGGAACUGAGACACGGUCCAGACUCCUACGGGAGGCAGCAGUGGGGAAUAUUGCACAAUGGGCGCAAGCCUGAUGCAGCCAUGCCGCGUGUAUGAAGAAGGCCUUCGGGUUGUAAAGUACUUUCAGCGGGGAGGAAGGGAGUAAAGUUAAUACCUUUGCUCAUUGACGUUACCCGCAGAAGAAGCACCGGCUAACUCCGUG